Molecule: ribosomal RNA, 253 nt
Filed under: uncultured bacterium
Lineage: Bacteria
Description: partial 16S ribosomal RNA
Rfam family: Bacterial small subunit ribosomal RNA
Source: RNAcentral
UACGGGGGGGGCAAGCGUUGUUCGGAAUUACUGGGCGUAAAGGGCCUGUAGGCGGCCAACUAAGUCGGAUGUGAAAUCCCCAGGCUCAACCUGGGAACUGCAUCCGAUACUGGAUGGCUUGAAUUCGGGAGAGGGAUGCAGAAUUCCAGGUGUAGUGGUGAAAUGCGUAGAUAUCUGGAGGAAUACCGGUGGCGAAGGCGGCAUCCUGGACCGACAUUGACGCUGAACGGCGAAAGCUAGGGGAGCAAACGGG